Molecule: transfer RNA, 72 nt
Filed under: Bos taurus (domestic cattle)
Lineage: Eukaryota; Metazoa; Chordata; Mammalia; Artiodactyla; Bovidae
Also listed under: 5 other names
Rfam family: tRNA
About the family: Transfer RNA (tRNA) molecules are approximately 80 nucleotides in length. Their secondary structure includes four short double-helical elements and three loops (D, anti-codon, and T loops).
Source: Rfam by way of RNAcentral
UCCCUUGUGGCUCAGCUGGUAAAGAAUCCACCUGCAAUGUGGGAGACCUGGGUUUGAUCCCUGGCUUGGGAA